GGUUAAGUUACUAAGGGCACACGGUGGAUGCCUAGGCAGUCGAACCGAAGAAGGACGUGGCUACCUGCGAAAAGCCUCGGGGAGUUGGAAGCAAGCGGUGAUCCGGGGAUAUCCGAAUGGGGAAACCCAGCAGAGCGAACCUCUGCUACCCAUACCUGAACACAUAGGGUAUGAGGAGGGAACCCAGGGAACUGAAACAUCUAAGUACCUGGAGGAGAGGAAAGAAAACUCGAUUCCGUGAGUAGUGGCGAACGAAAGCGGAGGAGCCCAAACCGAGGUCUACGGGCCUUGGGGUUGUAGGACCAGCUCAUUAGACCCGAGUGUUUAGCCGAAGCGUACUGGAAAGGCGCACCAUAGAGGGUGAGAGUCCUGUAGGCGAAAGGCACGGAGGCGAGGCUGGCACCUGAGUAGCUCAGGCCACGCGAAAUCCUGAGUGAAUCUGCGGGGACCACCCCGCAAGGCUAAAUAUUCCGACUGACCGAUAGCGAACCAGUACCGUGAGGGAAAGGUGAAAAGCACCCCGUGAGGGGAGUGAAAGAGUCCCUGAAACCGUGUGCUUACAAGCAGUCACGGCACCAUAGGUGUGUUGUGGCGUGCCUCUUGAAGCAUGAUCCUGCGACUUACUGUGUGUGCCGAGUUUAAGCCGUGAGGCGAAGGCGAAGCGAAAGCGAGUCUGAAGAGGGCGAAUAGGCGCACGUAGUAGACCCGAAACCAGAUGAGCUAGCCAUGGCCAGGAUGAAGCUCUCGUAACGGGGAGUGGAGGUCCGAACCCGUUGAGGUUGAAAACUCUUGGGAUGAGCUGUGGUUAGGAGUGAAAAGCUAACCGAAUCUGGAGAUAGCUGGUUCUCCCCGAAAUAGCUUUAGGGCUAGCCUCGGGGGAUAAGCAGUGGCUGUAAAGCACUGAUUGGGCUAGGGGGCUUACCCGCUUACCAAACCCUGUCAAACUCUGAAGGCUACUGUUCGAGACCCCGGGAGUCAGUCUGCGUGAGCUAACUUUCGCAGACGAGAGGAAAACAACCCAGACCGCCAGCUAAGGUCCCGAAGUCAGCGCUAAGUGGAGAAGGAUGUGAAGACGCCGAGACAGCUAGGAGGUUGGCUUAGAAGCAGCCAUUCCUUUAAAGAGUGCGUAAUAGCUCACUAGUCGAGUGUCUUUGCGCCGAAGAUGAUCGGGGCUAAGCGCUGCACCGAAGCUGCGGCAUUGUUGGAGGUAUGAUCUGUCAAUUGACAGAUGAUAUUUGCCACCGAUGGGUAGGGGAGCGUUCCGUAGGCUGUUGAAGCGUGACCGGAAGGACACGUGGAGGCAUCGGAAGUGCGAAUGCAGGAAUGAGUAACGAUAAGAAGGGUGAGAAUCCCUUCCGCCGAAAGCCCAAGGGUUCCUGAGUAAAGGUCGUCUUCUCAGGGUUAGGCGGGACCUAAGGCGAGGCCGAGAGGCGUAGUCGAUGGACAACGGGUUAAUAGUCCCGUCCCGCUUUCGUGGAGCGAUGGGGUGACGCAUUAGGAUAGGCCAACCGGAGCAAUGGCUAAGCCCGGCGGGCAACGGAGCUUGCAAGGAGAGGCAAAUCCGCCUUGCGUGAGAGUGACGUUGUUCGGGAAGCCCCCACGGGGGUGAUAACUGGUUGAAUCCAGGGUGCCAAGAAAACCCUCUAAGCGAAGAAGCGAGAGCGCCCGUACCGAAAACCGACACAGGUGGGCGAGUGUAAAAGCACUAAGGCGCGCGAGAGAACUCUCUCUAAGGAACUCUGCAAAAUGGCCCCGUAACUUCGGGAGAAGGGGUUCCGCGGGUACCGUGAGCGAAGGCUUGCGGGAGGCGGGCACAGGAAAUCGGCUCUAGCGACUGUUUACCACAAUCACAGCACUCUGCGAACCCGGAUAGGGGAGGUAUAGGGUGUGACACCUGCCCGGUGCCGGAAGGUUAAGUGGAGGGGUGAGAGCCCUGAAAUGAAGCCCCGGUGAACGGCGGCGGUAACUAUAACCGUCCUAAGGUAGCGAAAUUCCUUGUCAGGUAAGUUCUGACCUGCACGAAUGGUGUAACGACUGGAGCGCUGUCUCGGAGAGAGACUCGGUGAAAUUGAACUGGCCGUAUAGAUGCGGCCUACCCGCAGCAGGACGAAAAGACCCCGUGGAGCUUUACUACAGCUUGAUAUUGGCGUUAGGACCGAUCUGUGUAGGAUAGGUGGGAGACGUUGAAGCCGGUGCGCCAGCAUCGGUGGAGUCGCUGGUGAAAUACCACCCUGAUGGGUUCGGACGUCUAACCUGCGCCUGUGAUCCAGGUGAGGGACAGUGUUAGGCGGGUAGUUUGACUGGGGUGGUCGCCUCCCAAAGCGUAACGGAGGCGCACAAAGGUUCCCUCAGCACGGUCGGAAAUCGUGCGUAGAGCGUAAGGGUAUAAGGGAGCUUGACUGCGAGACAUACAGGUCGAGCAGGGACGAAAGUCGGUCCUAGUGAACCGGUGGUACCGAGUGGAAGGGCCAUCGAUCAACGGAUAAAAGUUACCCCGGGGAUAACAGGCUGAUACCGCCCGAGCGUUCAUAGCGGCGGCGGUGUUUGGCACCUCGAUGUCGGCUCGUCAUAUCCUGGGGCUGGAGAAGGUCCCAAGGGUCCGGCUGUUCGCCGGUUAAAAUGGCACGCGAGCUGGGUUCAGAACGUCGUGAGACAGUUCGGUCUCUAUCCGCUGUGGGCGUAGGAAAGUUGAGGAGAGCUGUUCCUAGUACGAGAGGACCGGAAUGGACGCACCGCUAGUUUCUCAGUUGUCUACCAAGGGCAUAAGCUGAGUAGCUAUGUGCGGAACGGAUAAGCGCUGAAAGCAUCUAAGUGCGAAGCCGACUCCAAGAUGAGCUUUCCCAUCCCCUUGUGGGAGUAAGACCCCCGGAAGACCACCGGGAGAUAGGCUGGGCGUGUACGCACGGCAACGUGUUUAGCGGACCAGUACUAAUCGGUCGAGGACUUAACCUC
This is a ribosomal RNA of Truepera radiovictrix DSM 17093, 2952 nucleotides long. It matches the Rfam family "Bacterial large subunit ribosomal RNA". The record is from Rfam. NCBI's taxonomy places the organism in Bacteria, Thermotogati, Deinococcota, Deinococci, Trueperales, Trueperaceae.